Molecule: ribosomal RNA, 2070 nt
Filed under: Triticum aestivum (bread wheat)
Lineage: Eukaryota; Viridiplantae; Streptophyta; Magnoliopsida; Poales; Poaceae
Description: partial small subunit ribosomal RNA
Source: RNAcentral
AUGGACGAGGGGCGAAAGCGCAAGGCGCUCGACGGCAUGAAUCCGUGGACUGGGCGGCCUUACUCCUCUCGCUACUACGAAAUGCUGGAGAAUCGGCGCGCCCUCCCGGUGUGGAGGCAUAAGGGAGAGUUCCUGCGCCUCUUAGGCCUCCACAAAGUCGUUAUCGUCGUCGGGGAUUCGGGAGGUGGCAACACCACUCAGGUCCCUCAGAUUGUUCUGCAGGCAUGGAAUGGCAGGGUGGCCUGUACCCAGCCUUGGAGGGUCGCUGCAAUGACGGCCGCUCAACGCGUCGCAGAUGAAAUGGAUGUCACUCUUGGUGAACAGGUUGGCUACACGGUACCUUUAGAAGAGUGCGGCAACCACAAUACUGUGAUCAUGUACAUGAAAGAUUCUAUGCUCCUGAGAGAAGCUGCAGAAGAUCCCCUGUUUCAGAAGUACAAGGUGGUUAUUGUGGAUGAAGCUCAUGAACGUACAUUGGCAACUGAUAUUCUAUCUGUGAUCCUGAAAAAUGCUAUCAGCAAAAGGAAGGACUUGAGGCUGGUUGUCAUGAGUGCCACAGACAACACUCAAGAGAAUAACUUCAGCAUACACUUCAACAAUGCACCGAUUCUGAUGGUGCCUGGUAGGCAAUUGCAUCCGUUCGAAUGCAUCUACCUGCCAGAACCAAUGUUCAACUAUGUGGAGGUUGCAAUCAUUACAGUAGUACAGAUACACACUACUCGGCCUGCUGGUGACAUCAUUGUCUUUCUCCCAAGGGAACCCCAAGUUGAGUCUGUUUGUUCAGAACUUAGCAGGGAACUUCAGGGAAGGGACGACGUUGGUCCAUUUUGCAUUGUGCCUCUCCAUGAUAACCUACCAUUGGAAAAGCAGUCUAAGGUUUUUGAACCUGCUCCAGUUGUAUGGAGAGUGGGUUGUCGUCCAAGGAAAAUCGUCGUUUCAACAAAAUUGGCCGAGACCUCUGUCAUAAUUCAUGGAAUAGUCUAUGUUAUUGAUGCAGGGCUUUCCAACUGCAGAAUUCACAACCCAGACACAGGAGUAGAAGCUCUGUUUGUGUCAGAUAUUUCUCAGCAGAGUGCAGUUCGGAGAGCUCUUAUUGCUGGAAGAACGCAGGCAGGAAUGUGCUUCAGAUUGUACACCGAAGAUAUUUUCCAAGAGGAAUUACCACUCGAGACCUACCCAGAAAGUUUAACACUGAACCUGUCAAGCAUAGCUCUUGGUAUGAAGAAUCUUGGAAUUCCUGACCUCAUGAGUUUUAAGUAUAUGGAUUCUGCUUCACCUGCACGUGUAUCUGUAGCAAGGGCCUUGAGAGACUUGUACCAUUUAAGAGCAGUCAACCCUGAAUAUAACUUAGAACCCUUGGGUGAAGUGAUGAACUCAUUUCCCCUAGACCCUCAGAUGUCAGCAAUGAUAAUUGCCAGUCCAGAUUACCACUGCUCAAAUGAGAUUGUGUCUCUAUCUGCAAUGCUGUUAGAUCGGGAUUCAGAAUGGUGUAAGAUGAACUUCAUCGAUGCUCAAGUCAGGAACUAUGCUUACAAUCUUAGACAAAAGCUUGUUGGAAUCAUGAGAGGAUUGAAUAUCCCACUGUUGAGUCCAGCCUCCGAUAGUCCUUGGUUCCCCAACAAUGUUAAAUUGGCCAUGCUAUCAGGGUACUUUAUGCAGGUAGCUCACAGAGAAAGAUUUGGAUACUCUGUGAUGCUGAAAGAUGAUAACCAGGUAUUGGAUUUGGACAGGACAACCUUCCUGAACCGCAGGCCUGAAUGGGUUAUUUACGAUGAAAUCCAUUCAAACAUAGCUCGCACAGUUACUGAUGUCCAAACAGAAAUGCUACUGAUGAUAGCUCGCGACUAUUACGACCUAAGGAACAUUCCGCGCUGUGCCAUGAAGACUGCUAUUGAGAGGGCGCACGUCUUUGGGCUGUCUCGAAGUGGCUAUCAAGGCUUAGCUGAGAUGACUCAAGUCGAACUGCAAAAUUUUCUUGAGGGUGAGGGUAUGCAGUGGCAGACCAGGAUCUCAAUUCCACAAGCACCAGCAGCUGACGAGCAGGGGGAAGGCCCCCCUUCUCCUCAAUGA